Molecule: ribosomal RNA, 701 nt
Filed under: Polystenidea sp. BIOUG08113-H02
Lineage: Eukaryota; Metazoa; Arthropoda; Insecta; Hymenoptera; Braconidae
Description: partial 28S ribosomal RNA
Rfam family: Eukaryotic large subunit ribosomal RNA
Source: RNAcentral
AAAGUUGAAAAGAACUUUGAAGAGAGAGUUCAAGAGUACGUGAAACCGUUCAGGGGUAAACCUGAGAAACCCAAAAGAUCGAAUGAGGAGAUUCAUCGUCAGCUCAUUUUGUAUAUAUAUAAGUUGUGAUGCGAGUUACUACUUGUAGUAUUGCUUGCACAUUCUUAUAUAUUUAUUAGCAAUAUGUUGUCGGCGUGCACUUCUCCUCUAGUAGGACGUCGCGACCCGCUGUGUGUUGGUCUACGGCCUAAGUGAUAGUCUUUGAUAUUUUUUCAAAAAAAUUAUAUUGAAGAUCCUUAGUGUCUCCUGACCGGCUACACGGCGGUAUUCGUACGGUAUUAAGCCGCAUAUAUUUUUAUAUGCGUCCAUAUCCGUCACAAGCGGGGCCAAUUUUUACUAGUAGUACGGACUUUGUGCCGUCGCUGGUAUUGGUCAGCUGUUGGUUGUACGGUAUUCUAGGACUGGCUUGAAAAUUAUUAUUACCGGUCAGCGAUGCUACUGCUUUGGGUACUUUCAGGACCCGUCUUGAAACACGGACCAAGGAGUCUAACAUGUACGCAAGUCAUUGGGAUUAUUUUUAAAUUAAACCUAAAGGCGUAAUGAAAGUAAAGAUCGUCCUUGCGUCGAUCGAGGGAGGAUGAGUUGUAAUGUAAUAAAUACAGCUCCGCACUCCUGGGGCGUCUCAUUCUUAUUACAAGAAG